This 484-nucleotide ribosomal RNA is filed under the name uncultured bacterium. RNAcentral describes it as "partial 16S ribosomal RNA". It matches the Rfam family "Bacterial small subunit ribosomal RNA", at positions 30 to 507 of the family's 1533-position model. The record is from RNAcentral.
AUUGAACGCUGGCGGCAGGCCUAACACAUGCAAGUCGAGCGGAUGAAGGGAGCUCGCUCCUGGAUUCAGCGGCGGACGGGCGAGCAAUGCCUAGGAAUCUGCCUGGCAGUGUGGGCUAACGUCCGGACACGGGCGCUAAUACCCUAUUCGUGCUGAGGGCGAACGUGGGGGAUCAUCGGACCUUACGCUAUCAGAUGAGCCUAGGUCGGAUUAGCUAGUUGGUGGGGUAAAGGCCUACCAAGGCGACGAUCCGUAACUGGUCUGAGAGGAUGAUCAGUCACACUGGAACUGAGACACGGUCCAGACUCCUACGGGAGGCAGCAGUGGGGAAUAUUGGACAAAGGGCGAAAGCCUGAUCCAGCCAUGCCGCGUGUGUGAAGAAGGUCUUCGGAUUGUAAAGCACUUUUAGUUGGGAGGAAAAGCAGUAGGUUAAUACCUUGCUGUUUUGACGUUACCAACAGAAUAAGCACCGGCUAACUUCGUG